GUACUCUCACACUCUCAUGGCUUUGCUGUGACGAGCUUGGACUUUGGGGGUCUUGCUGGCCUGUGGUCGGCUCCUCUCAAAUGAAUUAGCUUGCCAGUGUUUGGUGGCAUCACGGGUGUGAUAACUAUCUACGCUUGUGGUUUUCCACCAGGUAACCUUCAGUGAUGAAGGUUCGCUGGGGCUCAUAAAUGUGUCUCUCCUCAGCGAGGACAGCUCUUUGAAC
RNAcentral lists this unclassified non-coding RNA (223 nucleotides) under uncultured Tomentella. RNAcentral describes it as "sequence contains ITS2". The record is from RNAcentral. Lineage: Eukaryota; Fungi; Basidiomycota; Agaricomycetes; Thelephorales; Thelephoraceae.